GGAUUAGAUACCCUGGUAGUCCACGCCGUAAACGAUGUCUACUAGCUGUCUGUGCGAUUAAGUGUGGGUAGCGAAGCUAACGCGUUAAGUAGACCGCCUGGGGAGUGCGGUCGCAAGAUUAAAACUCAAAUGAAUUGACGGGGGCCCGCACAAGCGGUGGAGCAUGUGGUUUAAUUCGAUGCAACGCGAAGAACCUUACCUACUCUUGACAUCCAGAGAACUUUCCAGAGAUGGAUUGGUGCCUUCGGGAACUCUGAGACAGGUGCUGCAUGGCUGUCGUCAGCUCGUGUCG
This 292-nucleotide ribosomal RNA is filed under the name uncultured bacterium. RNAcentral's name for it is "partial 16S ribosomal RNA". It matches the Rfam family "Bacterial small subunit ribosomal RNA", at positions 775 to 1067 of the family's 1533-position model. The record is from RNAcentral.